Molecule: ribosomal RNA, 253 nt
Filed under: uncultured bacterium
Lineage: Bacteria
Description: partial 16S ribosomal RNA
Rfam family: Bacterial small subunit ribosomal RNA
Source: RNAcentral
UACAGAGGUCUCAACCGUUGUUCGGAUUCAUUGGGCGUAAAGGGUGCGUAGGCGGUCGUGCAAGUCGGAUGUGAAAUCUCAGGGCUCAACCCUGAAACUGCAUUCGAUACUGCGCGGCUAGAGUGCUGGAGGGGAGACUGGAAUUUACGGUGUAGCAGUGAAAUGCGUAGAUAUCGUAAGGAAGACCAGUGGCGAAGGCGAGUAGCUGGACAGCAACUGACGCUGAGGCACGAAGGCCAGGGGAGCAAACGGG